AGCUUCAGGUGAUGAUCCGGGAAAUGAAAACAAUAUUCUUUGCCUUCUCGAAGCUGAGGGGGUCACAUUCAACAGUGAGCAGAGAAAAUGGCAAACAGCAAAAGGCAGCAGAAGUCACUCUUUCUGCCUUAUAAGUUUGCAUGGACAUCGAAUGAGGUAUUAAAAGAGUCCUUCUAUCUGCAUUCUUAGCCUUGUGAAAUGCCUGUUUUAAUAUUUUCUGCGGAUAUCCUCUAUCUCUCAAUUGUCCCAUCAAUAUGUAAAGGCUGACAUAGUAUUAUAAUUAUGGCAAAAUCCGAUCAUCUGUGAAUAUGGAAGAUUUCUUUUCAAAUUGGUUGGAUGAUGACUGUCAUAUUUCAAAAAAGA
This is a long non-coding RNA of Hemicordylus capensis (graceful crag lizard), 363 nucleotides long. RefSeq lists it as uncharacterized. The transcript is spliced from 3 exons. The record is from RefSeq and is a predicted model, not a curated record. NCBI's taxonomy places the organism in Eukaryota, Metazoa, Chordata, Lepidosauria, Squamata, Cordylidae.